This 502-nucleotide ribosomal RNA is filed under the name uncultured Lachnospiraceae bacterium. RNAcentral describes it as "bacterial SSU rRNA". It matches the Rfam family "Bacterial small subunit ribosomal RNA", at positions 8 to 507 of the family's 1533-position model. The record is from RNAcentral. Lineage: Bacteria; Bacillati; Bacillota; Clostridia; Lachnospirales; Lachnospiraceae.
AGAGUUUGAUCCUGGCUCAGGAUGAACGCUGGCGGCGUGCCUAACACAUGCAAGUCGAACGAAGCAUGACCCAUGAGGCCUUCGGGCGGAAUGGGUCAUGACUUAGUGGCGGACGGGUGAGUAACGCGUGGGUAACCUGCCCUAUACUGGGGGAUAACAGCUAGAAAUGGCUGCUAAUACCGCAUGAGCGCACAGUCCCGCAUGGGACAGUGCGGAAAACUCCGGUGGUAUAGGAUGGACCCGCGUCCGAUCAGCUGGUUGGUGGGGUAACGGCCCACCAAGGCGACGAUCGGUAGCCGACCUGAGGGGGUGACCGGCCACAUUGGGACUGAGACACGGCCCGGAAACUCCUACGGGAGGCAGCAGUGGGGGAUAUUGCACAAUGGGGGGAACCCUGAUGCAGCGACGCCGCGUGAGUGAAGGAGUACUCCGGUAUGUAAAGCUCUAUCAGCAGGGAAGAAGCAAGACGGUACCUGACCAAGAAGCCCCGGCUAACUACGUG